Molecule: long non-coding RNA, 1863 nt
Organism: Melozone crissalis (California towhee)
Lineage: Eukaryota; Metazoa; Chordata; Aves; Passeriformes; Passerellidae
Exons: 3
Source: RefSeq, a predicted model, not a curated record
CCAGUUUUUACCAAUCCACUCUUUCAUGCCACUGUUCUUACUGGCUACAGGUGUGGCCUGUUAACAUCAGCCUGCUCCUAAUCUUUAGUACUUGGUCCAGCUGCAACUCUUUACGGAAAAAGAUUCUAUUCUAUACUACCUUCAUUCACCCAUACUGUAUCCCCCUACACUAAACCAGCUUAAGCAGCAGCUCCUUCUGGGAUUUGCAGUUUGUAGGCUGGAGGCCUGUUUGUGUUCCAGCUGACACAAAUGAACAUGCUGUGGUUAACUGAAGGUGUGAAGAAUCAUACCUCGUGUCUUGGUUGCAGAGUUAGCUACUUACUCCUUCCUUUUAAAGGCCAAGCUGAACUCAGCUCAUUUUGGAUGAUUAAAAAAGGAGUUUUUAUUUUUGUUCUCUGGUUUCUGAGUUUUCUCCUGAAAAAUGUUUUUGAUCUGAUCAAACAAUUUUGUCCUUUCCAGACAGACCUUUAUUCUCACUGCUGCAUCCAUUUCUGCCUUGAGGCAGUGAAGAGGGCUCCUCUUUGCUCUGCAUCCCUGCACAGUUCCACUGAAACUGAAUCAUCUCCAAUGUAUCUGCUAAACCCUGGCUAAACACAAGAAGGUCUGAACACAGCAAGGAAAAAGUCAGGCAUUUACUUUCACAUCAUAUUGCAGUUGAAAAUACAGUUAAAAUAGUGUUGGAUGGCUGGAAAGGAUGGCCUAAUGGAAGUGAUGGAUGGGAGCAGCUGGAGAGAUAGUGAACAUGUCUGUGACUUCUGAAAUUAAUAACCAUGAACUCAGUAAUGAAGUACCCAGGAGAACUUGUGGAAGGAAGAAGCAAUGGAGCUGAGAGUGAGCACCAACCUGGUCAGCAGCAGAUCAGAAGUUAUGUUCAGCUCCCAGCAUCCUGCUUGUCAGCCUGGAAUGCUGCUGGACCUUCCAUGCAGUUGUGCUGCCUUCACAGCAAAGCCUCCAGCCAGAUGAAAUUUGUAUGUGUGAGGAGUCUGUGCUGGGUGGAAAUACCUGAAAUACUGCAGGUACCUGUUGGUUUAAGAACAAGCAUCCACGAAUGAAUGUAAUUUUGAAUUGUCCCAUUGACUGACCAACAGCCCCUCUCCUGCUGGGGCUCAGCAGUGCGGCUCUUCCUAUGUCUGCACAGACACCGUGUAGGCUGAAAAUUAAAUGAGAAGACAAAAAAAAUCACCUUAAACAUACAAUGUUCCUUACAGGGUUGUGUUUAUGCAACAGAGAGAGCCAAGGAGAAGAUGUGACCCAUGUACUCUGGUUAUAGAGCUAUAAUCUUAUGGAAAUUUAAUGUUUUGGUAAUCCUAGGUUCUCCUUUGGGACUCUGGCCUAUGUCUGUGUUGAUAUUUCAAGCUGCAGGAGCUGAGGCCUAAACCAAGCUCCUCAAACAAAAUGCCAUAACAUUGCCAAGGCAAAGGAAAUAACUGUGGUGGAAGACACAUGGAAAAGCAAAUUCAGUGAGUAGGGAACUUGUAGCUACUCAGACAUGCGAAGGGAAGAGCAUUCACUGAAGAAGCAGAGUGGAACUCUCCUCCAUUUAAAUGUACUCACUGACUGAAGUGGGAACAUUCAAAGCAUAUUUUUCUGCUAUUAAGCAAGCACCAGCUGCUGGAACAGAGGGAUGUGCAGGAGAGUGGAUCCAGCAGUUCCCUCCUUUGCCAUGCUCUGAGAGCACCUCAAAGGCUGCCCUGGCCUCCAAUGCCUCCUAAGAGAUCCCAGAGGAUGAGAACUGGUGAUGACAACUCCAGCAACACAAACUCCCAUCUCCUCUCCUGCCUGGAUAGGAAUCCAGAGGAAUUUUCCUAGGGAUUGGGAUACCCUUCAGAUAUAACAAGAAUGUUUUGAUAUAUGGAAUAUUCA